Molecule: ribosomal RNA, 253 nt
Filed under: uncultured bacterium
Lineage: Bacteria
Description: partial 16S ribosomal RNA
Rfam family: Bacterial small subunit ribosomal RNA
Source: RNAcentral
UACGGGGGGGGCAAGCGUUGUUCGGAAUUACUGGGCGGAAAGGGGUUGGAGGUGGCUCGCUAAGUCACACGUGAAAUCCCUCAGCUUAACUGGGGAACUGCGUGUGAGACUGGCAAGCUUGAGGGCAGGAGAGGAACGCGGAAUUCCAGGUGUAGCGGUGAAAUGCGUAGAUAUCUGGAGGAACACCGGUGGCGAAGGCGGCGUUCUGGACUGCAUCUGACACUGAAAAACGAAAGCCAGGGGAGCAAACGGG